Lamprotornis superbus is the source of this 74-nucleotide non-coding RNA. The record is from the annotation of a GenBank genome assembly. NCBI's taxonomy places the organism in Eukaryota, Metazoa, Chordata, Aves, Passeriformes, Sturnidae.
GAUAUUUUAGCUUGGUUGGUUAGAGCAUGAUGCUAAUAAUGACACAGUUUUGGGUUCAAUCCCCACACAGGCUA